ACAGCUUUGGACAAAAGUCUAUAGCCAGUGCAUUCGUAACUCCCCAUGCACAAGAGCUGACUGUGGCUCUGGGAAGACAUUUUACUCAUUUGAUUUCUUUUUUCUUGUAGUCGUCUUGUCCAGUUCUCAGGUGUUUACCACCUAUUAGAAUUUCACCUGUAUGGGUCCUGUGUUUGAGAAAGUCCCAGGACUUGUCAGCUGUAUAGGCCUCAUAAGAGACAGCUCU
Cathartes aura (turkey vulture) is the source of this 226-nucleotide non-coding RNA. Lineage: Eukaryota; Metazoa; Chordata; Aves; Accipitriformes; Cathartidae. The record is from Rfam.